UUUAGUACAUAAGUAGGCAAAAGAUGCUAUUGGGCUUUCAAAAGAUGUAGUUGGUUGGUUAAACCCGCAUCUUAUGAAUCAUUUGGAAAAAAAGUAUCACCCAAAAGAUACGGUUUUAAUUUAACCAAAUCUGUUGCAUGUAUGAAAAAAAAAUCAGCGCUUGAUAUAACUAAAUCCAUACAUCUUUUCCAACCAAAUUCAAUUAAGUUUUUUUAUCAGUAAGUUUUUUUAGAACAAACACUAUAAAUAAUCAAGUUAUAUAUUUGAGGAUUCAAACAUUUGUUAGUUAAUUUAAAUCUAAAAGUGUUAAAAUAUUGGCCUUUGGGCUUAUUCUGUUACAUUCAUUCACUUGGUUUAUAUUUGUUGGGCUCUUUACUUACUUGGUCUUAUUGGGCUUAUAGUUUAACUGGUCUUAUUGGGCUAAUGGUUUUUGUUAGUUGUUGGUUGGUUGUUGUAACAGGUCCAACAACCUAAAAUAUCUCAAGGGUGCUUUCUGUAAUUGUGGGGGACUGCGAUUGCCUUUUGCAUGAAGAUCUGGACUAAUCUGAAACUUGUUAAGUUUCAGAUUAUAUAUAGCUCUUAUCCUUCACAAUAAAGUUUGUUGAGUUGUAACUUUCUCUCUCUUGUCAUCCGUCUCAGUUAGGGUUUCAUGUUCAGAGAUCUAUGAUCAUCAGUGGAUGAUCAUCUUUGUACAGUUUGUAUCUUGUAUUGAUUGAUCUUACUAUUGUA
RNAcentral lists this long non-coding RNA (729 nucleotides) under Helianthus annuus (common sunflower). RNAcentral's name for it is "hypothetical non coding rna". Lineage: Eukaryota; Viridiplantae; Streptophyta; Magnoliopsida; Asterales; Asteraceae. The record is from RNAcentral.